RNAcentral lists this unclassified non-coding RNA (431 nucleotides) under Hevea brasiliensis (rubber tree). Lineage: Eukaryota; Viridiplantae; Streptophyta; Magnoliopsida; Malpighiales; Euphorbiaceae. The record is from RNAcentral.
GAAAAGUUGGGGUUGAACUCUGCACCCAAGGAACGCUCAAGUUCACGAACACUACCUCAGGAACCUACUAAUGCACUGCAGAAAGUUGAGGUUGAGCAUGCGAAGCAAGAUGACGCAUUAUCAGAUCUCAGUAACCUGUUGGGAGAGCUCAAACAUAUGGCUAUUGACAUGGGGUCUGAAAUCGAAAGGCAGAACAGAUCCCUGGAUCAUUUUCAAGAUGAUGUAGAUGAGCUCAACUUCCGAGUUAAAGGUGCUAACCAGCGUGGCCGCCGCUUACUUGGCAAAUGACCUAGCAUUUAUCUCAUGUAUUAGCACUAGAUGUUAACGUGCUCAUUUUCUUCAUAAUACCAAUUUUUUCAUCUGUUAUUUCUGAUUUUUUUUUUAGUAUACCUGGUGAUCGGCUUGCAAAUCAACAAAUUGCUGAAAUUUAC